This is a long non-coding RNA of Hyaena hyaena (striped hyena), 820 nucleotides long. RefSeq lists it as uncharacterized. The transcript is spliced from 3 exons. Lineage: Eukaryota; Metazoa; Chordata; Mammalia; Carnivora; Hyaenidae. The record is from RefSeq and is a predicted model, not a curated record.
CGCCGGAGGCGGCCGGUGCGCCGGUUGGACAAUGUGGCCAUUGUUCGCGGAGCCGCGAACCAGGCCGGCGGGCAGGUUUCCGAGCUGGGCUGGAGGAAGAGAGAUACUUAUGUGUGUCCCGGGGAAGGCCUAGGCAGGCACUCAACUGAUUUGCAGCGAAGAAAACAUAAUCAAUAAGCCCCGACAAAAGUGAAUGUGUGAGAAAGGCCAGAGAAUGGAAAAGCGAGAUAAAAGUGAUAUCAGAUCGCAGAUUUCAGCAGCAGAUGACGAGCUGGGGGCUGAAGAAGAAUCUCAAUGGACCAUCACCCUUUCGCGGCUUUCCUUCCCUUUGCUGCAGCUCUACAUUCAGGACAAUAGUAAAUGCACUGAAACUUUUUUCUUAUGCUAAUGCAUGAAACCGGGCACUCACAGUUAAAACACACUUCCCAGCAACCUGGUUGUUUUUUGUUUUUGUUUUUGUUUUUUUAGCAACACGCUUGCACAGACCUAAAACCACAGUAACGUAUUCAGUUUAAAGCAAAAUCUCAAAAAAGUGUAAGAUGCACUCUUGGGUCAUGUCUUAGAUGACUUAUUUUCUGCCCUCUGUGAGUUUUUCAAGAAACCAGAACACACGCAGGAUUACCGAGGAUGCUUUUGUCGGGGAAGAAAUGGGGAGAAGCAAGAGAGUAAAACCGAAGAAAGGACGCUGUUCCUGUAGGUGCAUUUUCUCGGGGUUUUUCCACAUGGCUUUGUAGGUGAAGAGUGUUUCCUGCCACCCUCAAAAUCUAAAAACAAUGACCUGUGAUCUGCUUUUUUUGAAUCUUUUAAUCACCCACAGCAA